Molecule: ribosomal RNA, 396 nt
Filed under: uncultured bacterium
Lineage: Bacteria
Description: partial 16S ribosomal RNA
Rfam family: Bacterial small subunit ribosomal RNA
Source: RNAcentral
AUACGGAGGACGCGAGCGUUAUCCGGAAUGAUUGGGCGUAAAGGGCGCGUAGGCGGCGCGGUAAGUCUGGAGUGAAAGUCCUGCUUUCAAGGUGGGAAUUGCUUUGGAUACUGCCGCGCUUGAGUGCAGGAGAGGUUAUCGGAAUUCCCGGUGUAGCGGUGAAAUGCGUAGAGAUCGGGAGGAACACCAGUGGCGAAGGCGGGUAACUGGACUGCAACUGACGCUGAGGCGCGAAAGUGUGGGGAGCAAACAGGAUUAGAUACCCUGGUAGUCCACACUGUAAACGAUGAAUGCUAGGUGUAGGGGGUAUCGACCCCUUCUGUGCCGCAGUCAACACAAUAAGCAUUCCGCCUGGGGAGUACGGCCGCAAGGUUGAAACUCAAAUGAAUUGACGGG